CUGUUUGCUCCCUCCACGAGGAUAUGGUCUGCACUGCCGGUGUCCCUUCCCUGCUGAGUAAAGGCAGCCAGAUUUCUCGAAAUACAGUUGCUGGCGCUGUUGUCCUGUGUUAUCGUCCAUGGGACCACCCUCCGUAGGACCACCUGCCUUGGGCCUGCCCAUGUCCGAGGGUGUAUGGCUGCCCCUCCGCGGAGCCCACUGAGCCUGGAGCAGAUGCACCUCCACAGUCACAGUGAUCAUGAUGCUGAGUGAUUCAGAGCUCUGGGAGGGCUUGCUGGGACUUCAGGAGCCUGAGCAUCUUUUUUUUUUUUUGUAUCACUAAUGUACACUUACAUGAGCAACAUUGUGGUUACUAGAUUCCCCCCA
This is a long non-coding RNA of Manis javanica (Malayan pangolin), 366 nucleotides long. RefSeq lists it as uncharacterized. The record is from RefSeq and is a predicted model, not a curated record. NCBI's taxonomy places the organism in Eukaryota, Metazoa, Chordata, Mammalia, Pholidota, Manidae.